RNAcentral lists this ribosomal RNA (774 nucleotides) under uncultured Neocallimastigales. RNAcentral's name for it is "partial large subunit ribosomal RNA". It matches the Rfam family "Eukaryotic large subunit ribosomal RNA", at positions 26 to 627 of the family's 3401-position model. The record is from RNAcentral. Lineage: Eukaryota; Fungi; Neocallimastigomycota; Neocallimastigomycetes; Neocallimastigales.
CGUCUAUAUACGUAUAGCAUAUCAAUAAGCGGAGGAAAAGAAACUAACUAGGAUUCCCUCAGUAACGGCGAGUGAAGCGGGAAGAGCUCAAAUUUGAAAUCUUCAAGGUUCUACCUUGACGAAUUGUAGUUUAAAGAAGUGUUUUCUGUUGGAGUUUUGGUAAAAGUUCUUUGGAAUAGGACAUCAUAGAGGGUGAGAAUCCCGUAUUUGACCAUUAUUUCCAACUUUGUGAUACACUUUCAAAGAGUCGGAUUGUUUGGGAAUGCAGUCCAAAAUGGGUGGUAAAUUUCAUCUAAGGCUAAAUACUGGCGAGAGACCGAUAGCGAACAAGUACCGUGAGGGAAAGAUGAAAAGAACUUUGAAAAGAGAGUUAAACAGUACGUGAAAUUGUCAAAAGGGAAGCGUUUGACACCAGUGUUGUUUUCUCGAAAAUCAAUUAAAAAUGGCGGGAUUUUGUGUUGUAUUGACUUUAUCAGCUUUCUGCACUUUUUUCCUGUCUUUUUUAAUGCACUUUUCGUUUAACAAGUCAACAUCAAUUUCUUUUGUUGUAAAAGGGUCAUUGGAAGGUGGCUUUCUUUUCGGAGAAAGUGUUUAUAGCCUUUGACUUCUGCAGUCGGAGAGAUUGAGGUCUGCAGCGUAGAUCCUUCGGGGUUAGAUACAUUUGUGCUAAGUUAUAGCCUUUCAUAGACAACUUGUUGACUAUGAUCAGUCAUGUAGCUUACUCGCUUAUGCUAUUUUACCUACGCUUAGGAUGUUGACGAUCAGCUGAGCGCG